RNAcentral lists this ribosomal RNA (406 nucleotides) under uncultured bacterium. RNAcentral's name for it is "partial 16S ribosomal RNA". It matches the Rfam family "Bacterial small subunit ribosomal RNA", at positions 30 to 526 of the family's 1533-position model. The record is from RNAcentral.
AUUGAACGCUGGCGGCAGGCCUAACACAUGCAAGUCGAACGAGUGGCGGACGGGUGAGUAAUGUCUGGGAAACUGCCUGAUGGAGGGGGAUCACUACUGGAAACGGUAGCUAAUACCGCAUACCAUCGGAUGUGCCCAGAUGGGAUUAGCUUGUUGGUGGGGUAACGGCUCACCAAGGCGACGAUCCCUAGCUGGUCUGAGAGGAUGACCAGCGACACUGGAACUGAGACACGGUGCAGACUCCUACGGUAGGAAGCAGUGGGGAAUAUUGCGCGAUGGGCGCAAGCCGGAUGCAGCCAUGCCGCGUGUAUGAAGAAGGCCUUCGGGUUGUAUAGUACUUUCAGCGGGGAGGCGUUACCCGCAGAAGAAGCACCGGCUAACUCCGUGCCAGCAGCCGCGGUAAUAC